AGGAUUUCAAUUGUGCUUUGCGUUGCAUGAAAAAGUUUUUCUAUGAUUUUGAGAUCCUACACUACUUUGAACGAAUGAGGCAGUUAUUAUUUAUUUUGGUGGAGGAGCCUUCAUCACUAUACCACUAAAAGGCCGAGUUUCGAUGAUUCGCUCUUCUAAGUCAUUGAGUUCAAGAUUCAAUGUGCCCACUAUUCCACUAAGGUCGAGUUUCAUUAAGUUCAAGAUUCAAUGUGCCCAAGAGUCCGAGGAUAAUGAUGAGGUUUUAUUUCUUUUAUUGAUUAACAUUUUUAUUUCUUUUGCCAUGUACAAGAUAUCUAACCUUUUUAUCAGUGUCAUAGCAGUUGGAGUUUAUGGUGGAUAUAAAGUGAGGGCUGUGUUAACGCAGUCAAGAAUAAAUUGCAAACUGUUGAUGGUGAGGAUAUUAAAGAGUGAUGAAUCUAACGAUUUUGCACUUUUGUAUCUUCAUA
This 467-nucleotide long non-coding RNA is filed under the name Olea europaea (common olive). RNAcentral's name for it is "long non-coding RNA (OEUR_LNC002749)". The record is from RNAcentral. Lineage: Eukaryota; Viridiplantae; Streptophyta; Magnoliopsida; Lamiales; Oleaceae.